UACGAGAGGCCCAAACGUUAUUCGGAAUUACUGGGCUUAAAGAGUUCGUAGGCGGCGCGGAAAGUAGGGUGUGAAAGCCCUCGGCUCAACCGAGGAAUUGCGCUCUAAACUGCCGUGCUUGAGGGAGCUAGAGGUAAGCGGAACUGAUGGUGGAGCGGUGAAAUGCGUUGAUAUCAUCAGGAACACCGGAGGCGAAGGCGGCUUACUGGGGGUCUUCUGACGCUGAGGAACGAAAGCCAGGGGAGCGAACGGG
This 253-nucleotide ribosomal RNA is filed under the name uncultured bacterium. RNAcentral describes it as "partial 16S ribosomal RNA". It matches the Rfam family "Bacterial small subunit ribosomal RNA", at positions 524 to 776 of the family's 1533-position model. The record is from RNAcentral.